GUGACGGCAGCAAUCCUGCGAGACGGCAGGCGCCUACCUGCGGACAUGCCAAGGAGUACCGCGCCACGCUCGAGUUCUACUGGGCGCCCUUCCUCGUCGAGUCCAACUCUAACAACCCCAACUUCCACAGUACCAAGGAAUAGAUCGUCAGUCCCGAGCGGAUCGAGACGCACGCCAAUCGAGACGCACGCCAAGCAAUGUCAUUUUCGCUUAGCCUCUUGUGCUGCUGGUGGGGGAUUAAGAACUACUGCAGAAUGUGUUAAGAUAGCGAUUGGUUAUUCGGACUUGCUGGAAGCUCGUGGUCUAUCACUUUCGUCAGUUCUGAUGAAGCAAUUCAGACCCUCUGUUGAGCAAGCAUUAGAUUCCAAUUUGAGGAGAAUUGAAGAGAGUACUGCUGCUUUAGCUGCAGCUGAUGACUGGAUACUCACCUAUCCUCCAACGGGUAUACGUCCACUGGCUAGAUCAUCUGGUAAUCUGGCACUCCAGCCGAAGCUCUCAAGCAGUGCUCACCGUUUCAAUUCAAUGGUUCAGGAUUUCUUUGGGGAUGUUGGACCACUGGUUAGCUUACAGCUAGGUGGUUCCGCGAUGGAUGGGCUUCUGAAAAUAUUCAACUCGUAUGUAAACUUGCUCAUAAUGGAAACUGGUUGUUGUAAGUCCGCGGCAACUGGCCGAAUGUAAUUGAGGAGCAUCAUCUAAGUACUCGGGGAACUCUCAGGUAAACGACAUCCUGGACAUUGGCUGCUCUGUUGGAGUAAGCACCAGAUACCUCACCGAGAAGUUCCCAUCAGCUCAAGCUGUUGGGCUCGACCUAUCACCGUACUUUCUUGUUGUGGCGGCACAAAAGGAAGAAAAACUGUCACGGCCAAAGCCUAUUCGCUAGGUUCAUGCCAAUGGUGAAGCGACCGAGCUGUCUUCAGAUUUAUUUAACCUUGUCUCCCUUGCUUAUGUGGUCUAUAAUGCAUCAAACAAUGAGCUUGUGAGGACUCAGACUCUUGUGAAGAGCGCCAUUGUACAAGUUGAUGCUGCACCAUUCAAGCACUGGUACCUCACUCACUAUGGAGUGGACAUCAGUAGGAAGAAGGUGCCUGUCGCUAAGAAGGAUGCGACAUUGGUCAAGAUAUUCGAUUUGAGCUUCAUUUACGUCUUUUUCUUACCAAAUUUAUACUAUCUAGCUAGAGCUUGUUGUUAUUUUUACGUGACAUGUUUAGAUAACUAUUGCCAACUGCGGUGGUAAAGCAAACGGGCAUAUGUGACCUGUCAAUACGACAUUGGUCAAGUAAAUGGCCACAUCAAUAAAAAAUAUACAUUGUGGUGCAUAAAAAUUAAUUGAAUGGAUGUAUCAUAUAUUUGUAUCCCAUAUUUAUGUCUA
Molecule: long non-coding RNA, 1369 nt
Organism: Zea mays
Lineage: Eukaryota; Viridiplantae; Streptophyta; Magnoliopsida; Poales; Poaceae
Exons: 3
Source: RefSeq, a predicted model, not a curated record